RNAcentral lists this long non-coding RNA (254 nucleotides) under Coffea arabica (coffee). Its description in RNAcentral is "long non-coding RNA (CARA_LNC007084)". Lineage: Eukaryota; Viridiplantae; Streptophyta; Magnoliopsida; Gentianales; Rubiaceae. The record is from RNAcentral.
CUCACUCUUUCCCUCUCUCGGACUUGGGCAGUGGAAAGAAACAGAAAAGAAGAAAAAAAUUUUCCCUCCCUUUUUGGGCUGGCUCUUAAAGGACAAAAGGAAGAAAGAAAGGGAGGACUCUCUCUCGGCUUCGAACGCAGAAGAGAAACACGGAAGAAGAAGAAAAUUUCCCUCGGCCUUUCCUCUUUCCCAAUAUUUUCCCAACACACUCACAGGCAUCAGAAAAACUUCAGCCAAGGCAAUUCCACUUUCAU